UGGGCAUCAGAGGCCGCCUCCAGGCCAAUCGCGGCUCGGGACGGGUCCUGACGGACGGUGACACGCAGGCUGUGCGGCCAAUGGCGGUGCCGGGGGAGUGGCCACGCAGCCGGCCCCGGGAGCAGCAGCCCGGCCAUGGCGGUUCGUUCCGCCGCUGCUGCCGGAGCGCCGCUGCCACGGGCGGUUCCUGCGGCUGCAGCGGCUGCGCGGGGCGGGGCGGGGGCCCGGGGGUGCGGCCCCGCCGGCCGGUGCCGGGCGGUCGCCGUGUUGCCCUCGGGCAGCAGGGGGGGUGGGUCCCGUUGAUCCCCCCCGCGCAGUUCCGCGGUUGAGAAUCCUCCUCAGCAACGCGCCGGGACCGCGAUCGCCGCCGGUUCCGUCCCGGCAAAAGUAACUCCAAACACUGAUGCCGUCCCAGUUCUGGUGCAAGAGGAAGCCGUGGAAACCAUCUUCAUGCGACUCAUUAGCUGACGUCCCUUCCCGGCCGUUUUGCUGCAGGUCACCAGACUAUCGACACCUCUGGAUUGGUCACGGACCUGAUGGGAGCCGAGGGAAAACGGAAAGGGAAGGUUGGAUCCCGUGGGAAAUGGGGACAAGAAUCAAGGACCGCGCUACUGCUGAUCCUCUUCAUCACUCGUUGUGAGGAAGGUGCCUGAGGGAGAAGAGAGAACAGCCACCGAUGUCCCCCAGCGCAAGAUGGACAAUGGUUCCUGGGGCAAAGAGGUGAUCUAGGGCAUGUGGAAAGGAAAAGAUCCCGAAAACAUGACAGCCCCAAGAUGCCACAUCCAGUGUGCAGCUUCCCCCGAGCUUCCUCCCAGCUGUGGUCAGCGGCUUCUCCUUCAUUAUCAGCCCUUCCUGCCCCACUGAUUGCCCAGCUCGUGUCAGAUGGCUGGAGAAGGUGGUUCAGAAACACCGGGCAGGACAAGGCCAGCAGGCAGCUCGCUGCUCUCCUGGAGAGGCCGCCACGGAGCCCUGAGAAGCCCCUGGGUCAUGUGCCGUGAUGGUCACAGCCUCGUGAUGCUUCUGGGUACUCUUGGCCUCUUGGCCACAAGGACACAUUGGUGACUUGUGGCCAACCUGAUGUCAACCAGAACUCCCAAGUCCUUCUCCGCAGAGCUGCUUUCCAGUGGGUCCACCCUCAAACUGUACUGGUACUGGACCCCCGUCUGUCCCAGGAGAUAUUCCAUGCCACUAACAUGGUGCUUAUCACCUCCUUGCACUCGUUGUCUCAACGCCGAUCUCUCCUGGCUUUCCUCCAGCUGCUGCCGUUGGCUGUGUCCUCUGUGGACCCCUUUUACCCCCUGCGCUCUCCACAGACCCCAGUUACCAUUUCUGUUAUGAAGGGGAACAUCUCACUUUUCUGUGCAUGGCCAAGACGAUGAGGAAAAUUGGCAGAUUUUGGUUCUUCAAUCAAACUGGGGAGCAAAUCGACCUGCGAUCACUGUACCCCCUCCUGACUGCCCGGCUGCAGCUCACAGCUACAAAAGUGUCUGCUGGCGAGUGCUCAUACAUGUACUUCAUGGAGGACUCUGGACAGGAAAUCCCUUCCAAGCGGAGCUUUCCUCUCACCGUUGAGGUUCAGGGUAGGCUGGUCUCGUCUUACGACUCAGCUGCAAUUGGAGCUGAUACCACGUGCCUCCCUGGAGAGCGUCAUCUUGGCUGAUGGCCUUGUCCUUGGGUCACCAGUGGACACAUGGAGCUGCUCUGGCCUCUCACAAGCUUUUGUGCUCCUGGAUUGCUCUGCGAAAGCAGGAAUUUGUUGGCCUGACGGCUGUGUCAGCUCCAGGAAAACUUCCAGCAGGGUUUGGGGUAUAUUACUUGCCUUCUUACUUUGGGCAUGUGAAAAUACUUAUUUUCUGCACUUCAGUGAAUGGAAAGAAACCGUGGAAGCUACGCUGAGCUCUGAGAUCCAGGGGCUGUUUUUUCUCUGCCCUUAGACAGAGACGCAAAUGACCCCCACACCCUGUUUUGUCAUUCAAGGCUCCCUAUUUGCCUCAAUAGUAAUCAGAAAAAGAGUAAGCUGAUUUUCUAGGCUGAGUCAUGACACUGGCUUUGUGCACAGGUCCUGGUGUCAAUGCGCAGCCAGUUUUUUGUAUUCUGUGUUGCAUUAUGUUGGUUUGUUGUGUAGUUUUUGGUUUUUUUCAUUUUUUUUCCAGCUGCUCCCGUGGCCCCAACUUUUUCCCUGGAUCCUCAACAGCAGGUUUAUAGAAACAGGAACUCCAUCAAGCUCCUCUGGUCCAUCCCCAUGUCUCUGGAUUAUGUCAGAGAAGUCCCAAACUACACUGACUUUGGACUUGCCGUCUCCAUCCCAGUGUCAAACCUGAAAAACUGCAACUACGAUCUCCGGCUGACGGGAGAUAACUCACGGGCUCUUACAGUUGUGCCUAUUUUGUGUACAAAUCUGCUCGUCCCAUUGGCUCAGAGAGAAGCCACUUGUGUGGACAAGCACAGGCACGUCACAAGAAGAGCCGGAGGCCACGAAUGCAAUUGCAAAGAGCAAGUUUUAUUUUAGUUACCUCUCUACUGGGGGAUCUCCAAAGCCACACCUAAGCUCCCAGGCAGAGGUGACACCAGCGGGGAUGCAGGCGCUGAUAAGUUUAGCCCUGCUGGAAGGUCGUUAGGCCGGCUGCGCUCGUCUGUGUUUAAAGGCUUAGAGCAGAUGCAGCCUCUUGCUGUGCUCUGCUCUUUCUCAAAACAAAGCAGGAAUCUCAGACAUGAUAAGGUACCGUAGGGUUUCCCUCAGGCCUGUGUUAUCUCACACAGAGGUUCUACUUGUCAAGCACACAAGGUCAGUAGAACAAUUAAUGUGAUGUAUGUGCUUUCUUUAUACCCCAGCUGCGGGUCACUUGAGCGUGUUUACCUUUCUCCUCCUCGCCCAAUCUUCUGCAAUUCCCAUGCAUUCCACCCCCUCGCCCAAGGGACCAUCUCUGCUGGGGCCAGAAUGACCAGAGGUGUUCACUUGGGCGUGUAAAGUUCAGAACAGAACAAUUUACAGAGAUACCCAACAAACACAUAUACAUAUAUAAAGAGAGAAAAGGAACAAAUAUAUGUGUGCAAUGAUAGGUUGCAUCUGGCAUCCCGUCUAUCUUCUCAAGGAAUGAGAUGAGUCUUUCGGCCAGGCACUGUCAGUGGAUUGCUUCAUUUGAUGUGUCAGUCCCACAAGUAUUUAGGUGUUAUCUUCCAUUCUGACUAGUUCAUUAGCUGUCUUGAAGCAGCACUUGCCUUAAAAAAUCAGGGCAGCAUCUUCAGCCACUACCUACCCAAGGCUAAAGAACAAUGAGAAACAUUAGUGUGAAAAAAACAACCCAAACAAAACCCCUUGGCAUAAUACAUAUCUGUAGCAGAGCUAUUGCGUUACUAAAUGACAGUAAGAGAUCUGCAGCUGUUAGUCUUGUGGAGGUGUGUCCUGCAUAUUAUACUUGUAACAUAGGGUUACAAGCCAUGACGAGAAUCUCUGAUAAGUGAGGAAAACAGGGGCAUCUUCUCCUUCCAGUAAUACAUACACUGUUGCUCCAGCUCCUUCAGCUAGUAUUACUCCAGGCUUGACAACCUGGUGUGGGGUAAUUACCCACACAGACUGGAAAGCCAUGGCCUGUGCUUUCUCAGAUUGAACUUCAACAUGACGUUGGGUCUGCCACACAAGUAACACCGUUCCAAUGCUGUCUCCUCUAGACAAAGCACAAGUAGUCAUUGAAGAUACCUGAAAUACAAGAACUCGAGAGUCCGAUAUUAGCAAAGGAUGCAACAUAAGAGGAGAAGUCAGAGGACACAACCAUACACCAUUCUCAGGAAUUAUUAUGUGGACUUUCACAUCCAGAUUAAUAGGUCACAGUCCCACUUCGCAAUCCAUCGGGGUGAAUAAUUCCGUUUCCCCUGUAGUUAGUAUUUUGGAAGAAAUGCCAUCUGGAAGGAUUUCAGUCUGCACCAUGUUUUGCACUGGGGGUGUUGCGAUGCGAUCACAGGGUGUUUGAUUAUGGAUAUUCCGACUGUUCAGCAAAAAAACUGCUUUAGUCAGAUGUGGGCUCCAAUGUUGCAAAGUUUUAGUACUGGUUAGUUUCUUCAGUUGUUCCUUCAACAUCCCGUUCAUCCUUUCAAUUAAACCAUUGGCCUGGGGAUGAUAUGCAAUGUGGAACAACCAGUCUAUCCCUAACCCUUGAGCCCAGUCUUGUGAAUUACAUCCACUAAAGCAUGUCCCUUGGUCA
Molecule: RNA transcript, 4199 nt
Organism: Columba livia (rock pigeon)
Lineage: Eukaryota; Metazoa; Chordata; Aves; Columbiformes; Columbidae
Exons: 5
Source: RefSeq, a predicted model, not a curated record